RNAcentral lists this ribosomal RNA (263 nucleotides) under Helicotheca tamesis. RNAcentral describes it as "partial Bacterial large subunit ribosomal RNA". It matches the Rfam family "Bacterial large subunit ribosomal RNA", at positions 2622 to 2879 of the family's 2925-position model. Lineage: Eukaryota; Bacillariophyta; Thalassiosirophyceae; Lithodesmiales; Lithodesmiaceae. The record is from RNAcentral.
UGAGACAGUUCGGUCCCUAUCUGCCGUGGACGUUGGAGAUUUGAGGAAAGCUGCUCCUAGUACGAGAGGACCGGAGUGGACGAACCUCUGGUGUUCGGGUUGUGACGCCAGUCGCAUUGCCCGGUAGCUAUGUUCGGACAGGAUAACCGCUGAAAGCAUCUAAGCGGGAAGCCCCUUCCAAGAUGAGAUCUCCCUGGACCCUCGAGGUCCCUGAAGAGCCGUUCAAGACCAGGACGUUGAUAGGUCGGGUGUGUAAGCGCUGC